RNAcentral lists this ribosomal RNA (358 nucleotides) under Levilactobacillus brevis. RNAcentral's name for it is "bacterial SSU rRNA". It matches the Rfam family "Bacterial small subunit ribosomal RNA", at positions 1156 to 1509 of the family's 1533-position model. The record is from RNAcentral. Lineage: Bacteria; Bacillati; Bacillota; Bacilli; Lactobacillales; Lactobacillaceae.
UAAUAACUGGGGUAGGAAAGUGGGGAUGACGUCAAAUCAUCAUGCCCCUUAUGACCUGGGCUACACACGUGCUACAAUGGACGGUACAACGAGUCGCGAAGUCGUGAGGCUAAGCUAAUCUCUUAAAGCCGUUCUCAGUUCGGAUUGUAGGCUGCAACUCGCCUACAUGAAGUUGGAAUCGCUAGUAAUCGCGGAUCAGCAUGCCGCGGUGAAUACGUUCCCGGGCCUUGUACACACCGCCCGUCACACCAUGAGAGUUUGUAACACCCAAAGCCGGUGAGAUAACCUUCGGGAGUCAGCCGUCUAAGGUGGGAGCAGAUGAUUAGGGUGAAGACGACGUAGAUGAGGUUGUGAAGUA